RNAcentral lists this long non-coding RNA (4816 nucleotides) under Zea mays. RNAcentral's name for it is "long non-coding RNA (ZMAY_LNC002492)". The record is from RNAcentral. Lineage: Eukaryota; Viridiplantae; Streptophyta; Magnoliopsida; Poales; Poaceae.
GCGGGGACCAAGCCACCCGAAAGCCUUGUGUUGUGCCAUGGGCACCAUCGAGCAGAGCAGAGCCGUGCGCAUACACCAACAACGGGGUCUCCAAGGCAAGCUCGGUAGCUUCACCUAGACUCCAGGAGGGCGUCCGAGCACUCGCUGGGCGCGUGUGGUGCACGGUGCAACUGGCGAUUUCUCGCCGGAGUUGAGAAACUGCGCCACAUCGUGGCCAGGGUCUACGACUACAUGAGAGCUGGUAAGAACGCCACUGUUCACCUCGCUACCUUCGGUGCAUCGUGUAGGACCAUCUGGUCGGUAGGUUGGAGCCUUUUCGCUUGGACAACCAUCUCCGGCGUGCUCAUCGACGGAUUAGUGGGCGGCGCCACCGUGCUCUGGAUCCUGGGAGGGAGAAGAACCGAUGGUCGCUGAUCAGUAUUCAACGGUCGUGAUCAUGACGCACGCAACCCUUCCGGUGGGGAAAUCUGAACCGUGGAUCUGGCAAGUAGCGGCUCAGAUUAAAACCCGGUGUACCAGUUCGGGGGUCACGUUGUGGCCAUUGGAUCUCGUUUGGGCGAUCGAGAUUACAACGUAUAGUACCCCCCUUCGUCCGUCGAUCUGAGCCAUUGAUCGUGUGGGUACCGAUUCGUAAAGCACUCAAUCUAAUCCACGUCACAGACUGGUAAUCUAACGACUCAUAUCCAUCAAUACCCCUUCACCUCAGAACAAUUGUAAAAGAGCCCCUACACUUAUUUAUAAAUAACCCGUCGUCCAUCGAAAGCAUAAGAUUAUCACGGUUAGGUCUAGAUUUUUACAGAAUAAGCCCUGAAGACUUAAGAAAUAGCAUCCGCAGUUCAUACGGUUCAGAAAUAAUAAAAGAAAUAUGGAAAUUAAUUUUCGAGUAUAAAAGUAAUUCCCAAAUCUUAGAAAAUUCAUAACUUUCACAUUUUAACUCCGAUUUGGCCCGUUCAAAUUGUGUUAGAUUCGUAAUAAAAUAUUCUACAUAGCGAAAAACAUUAUUUUGUCAAAUCAAAUACUUUUAUAAUUAGAUAUUUAUUUAACUUAUGUUAGUUGAUUAAUCAUUCUAAUCAAAGUUAGUCUGUCUAUGACUAUAAUUUAACUAAAAUAUGAUUUCUACUAUGGUAUAAUGUAGAUUAAAGUUAUUUCUUUAAUAUCGUUAUCACAUGAUUUAUAAACUCAAUAUAAAGACCUAGAUCUAAUUGGUUAAUCACAUAGAUCUUCCAGAAAACCAUCUCUCUUCAUCCAUAACUCCGAUUUUAGUCGUUGUCGAACCCACGACCUCGUAGGAUCACGUAGAAUAUUCUUAUGCUAUUUGUUUUCAUAUUUAGUGUACUGAUAUUUUUUGUGAUCCUUGUAUAUUUGUAUGUAUUGCUACGAAUAGGGGUGAGGUCACAAGAAUCUGAAUACCAUCUUGGUACAUGGGAUCUCGAGUCUAAGUCAAGUUGUGCCCUUGAUCACUUUUCUCUACCUAAUAAUGUUCCUGUUAAUCAUUAUGACAUGUUUAGGUUAAUUUGAUGGGACCUAAUAGGUUUCCUUUGUAUUGUUUAUCCCACACCUUUCAAACAAAAGAACUAUUUGGUAGAUUUGCUAUUGCUCUACCUCGUUUCAAGAAAUUAAUGUUAUAUUAUGAUCAUGUUCUAAUUUUGCUGUUGUUUUAAUUAUUGUUCAUGAUAAGAUCAUUAUGUUAAUUUGAACAUGGAGUGACCACCUGGGAAAAUAGUGCUACAACAAGGGUGGUAUGGGACGCCCUUGGCUAAUUAAAUAGAAAAGCUAGUGGAGGACUACCUUACCCGAAAGGGGCAAGGGCAGUAGAGGAGUUGUGGUAUAGGGAGGUUCUUGGGUCGAUCAUGCUGCGAUGGCUUUUCGGACGAGGGAUUCCUAUAUCGCCCUUCUCAGAAACCAUAGUGGGUUUUCUGUAGCUAGUGGAACUUUAUAAAGGCCUCGUAGUGCUACCCUGCCUCGCCUCCUCGGUAGAGGUGUAUGCGAUUCAUGACCUUGUGGCAGAUGGGUAACACGACUUGUGGGUAAAGAUGCACAAUCUCUGCAGAGUGUAAAAUUGGUAUAUCAGCCAUGCUCACAGUCAUGAGUGGCUCGGACCCUCACAUGAGUAAUUUAUGGAACUAAAUUUAAAUUGUCAUAUGCAUUGCAUUGUGGGUGUUAUUAUUGAUUGUGACCUCUUAUUUAUUUAUUUGGGUUGGUAUCUACAUAUACUUAGUAACUGCUAAUAAAAUUUUGACCAACUUUAAAAGCAAUGCUCAGCUUUAACUACCUCCCUUGGUAAGGCUUACACUUCACAUGAGCCCCCACCGUAAGUGAGCUCAUGCACAUUAUUCCUCACAACUUGUUGAGCAAUGAUUGCAUGUGAGUCACCCUUGUCGUACUUACAUUCCCCUAGGUCAAGAAUAGGUACCACAAGAUGAGGAGCAUGAAGGAUGUCGCGAUGAGAUUCGUGAGAGUUCUAGGCCGUCGUCUCCCAGUAACCUAUGGUUGCUGGAUCGUUGUCUUCGUAUGUUGUAAUUAUUUAACUAUUUUAUACAAAACUCCAUUAUAUAUUAAAGAUGUGGCAAUCGUUUCUGUACCAUGAAUCAUCAUAUGUGUGAGACUUGAUCCUAGCACACAUUUGAGACGCGCCCGGGUUUGCCCCUUAAACCCGGUGUGACAGUCCACGUCUGGGGCUCAGACAAUCCACGUUCUUCACAAAGAACUUGAAUCUCGCCUAGAAUUUUGAGGAUGGGUAUUCGGAAUUUUAGUGGUCACAAUUUUUUGAAAGCCUAAUUUUGUUAUGGAAACAGAUAAUUGUCCAUCGAACACAUAGAUGGUAUAAUUUGUUAUCCACGUGUAUGGGUAUGAAUACAAUAAGGUAUUCAUGGUAAAUUUUUCUUGGGUAUGGAUAUACAGUAUCCAUACCCAUUACCCGAUGUGUAUCUGACAUUAGUACAAAUUUAUACCUAUGAACGUAUAUAGGUACGAGUAUGGAUUUAAUUUUGUCUUGUAGUUAUAGAUUUGUACAAAUUUAUACCUACGAACGUAUAUAAGCACAAUAUGGAAAUGAAAAAGGGCAGCGAAAAGUGAAGUUUGGAACAAAUAGUUGUAAGCCUGUAAACAAUGUUAUUUUAUAUUUUUACAAUAAUUUAGUGUAUAAACAUAAUAUGUGUAUAUACAUAAAUUUUGUCGCUAAAAAUAAUGGGUAUUUAAUUGAAUACCCUUGCUUCUACAUGGGCCCGCCCCUGAUCUCGCCUUCUGGAAGGGAUCCCGUCGAGGAGGAGAGAUCCAGGGGUUGUUCUAAGAUCGAUAGGCCACCUAAGACGUCUCUAAACGACGUCGGACCGAAGAGAGGUGAAAUAAUAGGUCGAGGAAGACUAAUACUAGGGCUAGACUAAGGCUAGAUUACUCUUACUCCUGAGGAAUGGAAAGAACAAUGCAAAUAAGAUAAAUAUAAUAAAUAUGUUUGGUUGGAUCGAUUGUGGGGGUUUAAUCAGCCGUACCCUCCAUCUAUAUAGGGGGUCUGGACCUGUAAGUCGGUUCCCGAAUUACUCCCGGGGAUUUUGCUAACAAACCACGCAAGAAAUCUAGAAUCGUAACUGAUUCUACGCUCGCGCGGACCGUUCGCCUGGCAACUUUGGUGCUCAACAUAUGCCCCCUGCCCUUGGGUGGAGGUUGCUGAGCCAAAAGCAUAUGCAUUGCAGCACUCUCGAGAAAUAAUAAUUCUCACAAGCUAUUUUGUUCCUGAAGUAAGAACUAAGACUGAUUCAAGUCAUCUGCCUAUUCAACCUAAUAGGGUCAUUAUGGAGUUCUAAUGCAUAAAAGUUGUUUAGGAUUAUAUCUUUCUAGGCCAUGACCAUUUGAUCAAUAAGUCAGCAUGUAUAAAAAUAUGGUGCCCCUAGCCUAAAUAAGCGAAGGGACUAUGCAUGUAGUAUGGGUUCAUCGUCGUACUAUACCAUAUUUGAAUGGGACAAUAUGUUGGCGAUGAAUAGGCUGGUGGAAAGUACCAUGGCAUCAUUUGAUAAACAUGUGACACUUGUUGCAUCGCUCUCUGGACCGUUUUAUUCGGUCAUGUUGCCUUUGCUGGUUAUUGGAGUUGCUUCGUUGGUCGACCGCAAGGGAUGGCCUUUUCAAAAGCAGGGACAACUUUAUCUAGCCGACUAAAAGUUUUAGAUGAUUUUUGCUUCGAUGUACCUAUUUCUAGUCGUCGAUGCUUGAAGGCAUGUGAACGCUAUGACCUCUGGUUGCUGCUGGACCGUCUGACCAGAUGAAUCAGACUGUCCGUGUGAUUUUUGGACCGUCCGCACAUAAGCGUCGGAGCGUCCGCGAUGCAUGGGACAUGGAGCUUUAAUCGGUUAAGCGAUCACACUUGCCCCCUGAAAGCAUCUAGGCCCCUGGUUGGUUUUAGUUAUUAAUGACAAUGUAAGAUUACUUAUGAUUAACGUGUGUUUUGUAGAGCAAAUGGUAAGUUAGGUCACAAUGCAGGAAGUUGCGCUACAACCGUGAAAACAAUGCCUCAGAUGAGAACUUAAAGCGACGACUGAAAAAGGCGAAUCAAAACUUCAUAUCCUAAGUGUCGAAGGAGUUGUGGGACACUUGGUAUAGAGUUAGGACUUCUAUUUUUAUUUUAGCCAUACUGUAAAGAGGGGUUGUGGAUGAGUAGUUUGACCAAGAGAUAACUAGUGUAGUGUCAAUGCAUGUUCACACUCACAACUAGUGUUAGGUGUCACUCUAGAACUCACUCACAAGUUAGAAUCGAAAUCGGGUUAGAAAAUCUCAAGAAAAGAAAGUGUGUUGCUGUCCUAGGGGCACCGGACUGCCUGGUGUGCAC